RNAcentral lists this unclassified non-coding RNA (411 nucleotides) under fungal sp. Its description in RNAcentral is "partial internal transcribed spacer region". The stretch from base 1 to 46 matches the Rfam family "Eukaryotic small subunit ribosomal RNA", at positions 1786 to 1831 of the family's 1831-position model. Lineage: Eukaryota; Fungi. The record is from RNAcentral.
AAGUCGUAACAAGGUUUCCGUAGGUGAACCUGCGGAAGGAUCAUUAUCAACGUAUCCACGUUAUACCAACCGUGAACCCUUCUUUGCCUCUGGCUGGUGUGGUGAGUGGGAUUGGGUUUAAAUGACACUGGCGUUGAGUGACUAAGACUUGGAAACUCGUCUUUUUCCCUCUGGGACUCUCUUUAGUUGUGCAUUUGAAGAGUACCGUUCAAUGUUGUUUGCCUUUUCUCCUCGAUUCAAUUCGUACCAUGCUGGCCAGAGCGUAGUUUCAAAUCCCGCACUGUUUUUUUUACCAUUUGAACAAAACUUUUGAUUAUUUGAACUGACUUGUAUUUCUUUCUCCUUUGCAGGAGAAGAAAUCGAAAAUUACGAAACAAAAAACAACUCUUAGCAACGGAUAUCUUGGUUCUC